Molecule: ribosomal RNA, 372 nt
Filed under: uncultured organism
Description: bacterial SSU rRNA
Rfam family: Bacterial small subunit ribosomal RNA
Source: RNAcentral
CGUAGGGGGCGAGCGUUAUCCGGAAUCAUUGGGCGUAAAGGGCGCGUAGGCGGAUAUUUAAGUCAGGUGUGAAAACCCAGGGCUCAACCUUGGGAUUGCAUCUGAUACUGGGUAUCUUGAGGACAGGAGAGGAAAGUGGAAUUCCUAGUGUAGCGGUGAAAUGCGUAGAUAUUAGGAGGAACACCAGUGGCGAAGGCGACUUUCUGGACCGUAACUGACGCUGAGGCGCGAAAGCGUGGGGAGCAAACAGGAUUAGAUACCCUGGUAGUCCACGCCGUAAACGAUGAGUGCUAGGUGUAGGGGGUAUCGACCCCUCCUGUGCCGCAGUUAACACAAUAAGCACUCCGCCUGGGGAGUACGGCCGCAAGGUUG